GGAGGGAUUUUCAAUGUUGGUAAUUGAAGUUGAGUUGUAGCCUCAAUGGUUUAAUCCUUCAUAGGUUCAAUUCCUAUUCCCUUCA
Hanseniaspora osmophila is the source of this 85-nucleotide non-coding RNA. The record is from Rfam. Lineage: Eukaryota; Fungi; Ascomycota; Saccharomycetes; Saccharomycodales; Saccharomycodaceae.